RNAcentral lists this ribosomal RNA (253 nucleotides) under uncultured bacterium. RNAcentral describes it as "partial 16S ribosomal RNA". It matches the Rfam family "Bacterial small subunit ribosomal RNA", at positions 524 to 776 of the family's 1533-position model. The record is from RNAcentral.
GACGGGGGGGGCUAGUGUUAUUCGGAAUGACUGGGCGUAAAGGGCACGUAGGCGGUGAAUCCGGUUGAAAGUGAAAGUCGCCAGCUCAACUGGCGGAAUGCUUUCAAAACCAAUUCACUUGAGUAAGAUAGAGGAUAGUGGAAUUUCGUGUGUAGAGAUAAAAUUCACAGAUAUACGAAGGAACACCAAAAGCGAAGGCAGCUUUCUGGGUCUCUACUGACGCUGAGGUGCGAAAGCAUAGGGAGCAAACAGG